Molecule: ribosomal RNA, 506 nt
Filed under: uncultured bacterium
Lineage: Bacteria
Description: bacterial SSU rRNA
Rfam family: Bacterial small subunit ribosomal RNA
Source: RNAcentral
AACGAACGCUGGCGGCGUGUUUAAGACAUGCAAGUCGCACGGGGCGGCAUGAGUAGCAAUACGAUUGCCGUUCAGUGGCGCACGGGUGAGUAACACGUGAAUCACAUGCCCUGCAGUGGGGAAUAGCCCAGGGAAACUUGGAUUAAUACCCCAUGGCCUCGCAAGAGUAAAGGCGGCCGCAAGGCUGCCGCUGCGGGAUUGGUUCGCGGCCUAUCAGCUAGUUGGCGGGGUAACGGCCCACCAAGGCGACGACGGGUACCUGGUCUGAGAGGACGUUCAGGCACACUGGAACUGAGACACGGUCCAGACACCUACGGGUGGCAGCAGUCGAGAAUAAUUCACAAUGGGGGCAACCCUGAUGGUGCAACGCCGCGUGGAGGAUGACGGUCCUCGGAUUGUAAACUCCUGUCAGCCGGGAGUAAGACCUGGCGGUUAAGAGCCGACAGGGUUGAUAGUACCGGAAGAGGAAGGGACGGCUAACUUCGUGCCAGCCGCCGCGGUAAUAC